GAAAGCAAAUGAUGUAAUUAAUAUAAUCUUAUACUACACACUGAAUGAAUACUUCGAUGUAGAAAAUAACUCUCUAUUAUUUUCUGAUGCUUUU
This is a small nucleolar RNA of Erigeron canadensis, 94 nucleotides long. RefSeq annotates it as small nucleolar RNA R16. The record is from RefSeq and is a predicted model, not a curated record. NCBI's taxonomy places the organism in Eukaryota, Viridiplantae, Streptophyta, Magnoliopsida, Asterales, Asteraceae. The transcript has a single exon.